Molecule: ribosomal RNA, 466 nt
Filed under: uncultured bacterium
Lineage: Bacteria
Description: partial 16S ribosomal RNA
Rfam family: Bacterial small subunit ribosomal RNA
Source: RNAcentral
GAUGAACGCUGGCGGCGUGCUUAACACAUGCAAGUCGAACGAUGAAGCCCAGCUUGCUGGGUGGAUUAGUGGCGAACGGGUGAGUAACACGUGAGUAACCUGCCCUUAACUCUGGGAUAAGCCUGGGAAACUGGGUCUAAUACCGGAUAGGAGCGUCCACCGCAUGGUGGGUGUUGGAAAGAUUUAUCGGUUUUGGAUGGACUCGCGGCCUAUCAGCUUGUUGGUGAGGUAAUGGCUCACCAAGGCGACGACGGGUAGCCGGCCUGAGAGGGUGACCGGCCACACUGGGACUGAGAUACGGCCCAGACUCCUACGGGAGGCAGCAGUGGGGAAUAUUGCACAAUGGGCGGAAGCCUGAUGCAGCGACGCCGCGUGAGGGAUGACGGCCUUCGGGUUGUAAACCUCUUUCAGUAGGGAAGAAGCGAAAGUGACGGUAACUGCAGAAGAAGCACCGGCUAACUACGUG